RNAcentral lists this ribosomal RNA (478 nucleotides) under uncultured bacterium. Its description in RNAcentral is "partial 16S ribosomal RNA". It matches the Rfam family "Bacterial small subunit ribosomal RNA", at positions 28 to 523 of the family's 1533-position model. The record is from RNAcentral.
GACAAACGCUGGCGGCGUGCUUAACACAUGCAAGUCGAACGGUAAGGCCCUUCGGGGUACACGAGUGGCGAACGGGUGAGUAACACGUGGGUGAUCUGCCCUGCACUUCGGGAUAAGCCUGGGAAACUGGGUCUAAUACCGGAUAGGACCACUGCCUGCAUGGGUGGUGGUGGAAAGCUUUUGCGGUGUGGGAUGGGCCCGCGGCCUAUCAGCUUGUUGGUGGGGUGAGGGCCUACCAAGGGGACGACGGGUAGCCGGCCUGAGAGGGUGACCGGCCCCACUGGGACUGAGGUACGGCCCAGACUCCUACGGGAGGCAGCAGUGGGGAAUAUUGCACAAUGGGCGCAAGCCUGAUGCAGCGACGCCGCGUGAGGGAUGACGGCCUUCGGGUUGUAAACCUCUUUCAGCACCGACGAAGCGCAAGUGACGGUAGGUGCAGAAGAAGGACCGGCCAACUACGUGCCAGCCGCCGCGGUAA